UACAGAGGGGGCAAGCGUUGUUCGGAAUUACUGGGCGUAAAGGGCGCGUAGGCGGCCUGUUAAGUCAGACGUGAAAUCCCUCGGCUCAACCGGGGAACUGCGUCUGAUACUGGCAGGCUUGAGUGUGGCAGAGGGGGGUGGAAUUCCACGUGUAGCAGUGAAAUGCGUAGAGAUGUGGAGGAACACCGAUGGCGAAGGCAGCCCCCUGGGCUAACACUGACGCUCAUGCACGAAAGCGUGGGGAGCAAACAGG
RNAcentral lists this ribosomal RNA (253 nucleotides) under uncultured bacterium. Its description in RNAcentral is "partial 16S ribosomal RNA". It matches the Rfam family "Bacterial small subunit ribosomal RNA", at positions 524 to 776 of the family's 1533-position model. The record is from RNAcentral.